Piliocolobus tephrosceles (Ugandan red Colobus) is the source of this 1235-nucleotide long non-coding RNA. RefSeq lists it as uncharacterized. The record is from RefSeq and is a predicted model, not a curated record. The transcript is spliced from 2 exons. NCBI's taxonomy places the organism in Eukaryota, Metazoa, Chordata, Mammalia, Primates, Cercopithecidae.
UUUUGCCAUGUUAUGCAGGCUGGUCUCGAACUCAUGACCUUAAGCGAUCCGCCUGCCUCUGCCUCCCAAAGUGCUGCGAUUACAGACAGGAGUCACUGUGCCCGGCCAGCUUAAAACAUUCUGUUGAAGUGGAAUGUGGAAAGAGGAGGUUGCACACAUCCUAGGUGUACAGCCUGAGGCAGCUUCAGAAGAUGAACACACCACGUAACUAGCACCCCAAAUAGGAAGCAGAUCAUUAUCAACCCCGCAAAUCCCCCCACUUCAGAGAACCCUGCAAGCACCGCCAUGAGGAUAACCCUGAAACAUCCUGCUGGAGACACAUGACCUGUCCUCAGCACCACCAAGCCAGCCAACAGCCAGCACCAGCAGAAAAGGAAGUAAAGCCAUCUGAGAUCGACCCGUGGCCUCACCAGCUCUCUGAGGCCGCACAGACAAGCACAGGCAGGAAGGCGUCCCCUGAAGGCAGGUCAAACUUCCGACCCACAGAAUCAUGAGCCAAUACGCGAUUGUUGCUUUAAGCCUCUAAGUUUGGGGAUGACUUGUUACACGGCAAAAGCUGACUGGACACAGUGCCCCAUGAAUAGCUGUCGAAUGGAUGAGUGAAGGACUGAAUGUUUAGUCUUUGCCUAGGCCUUGCCAAUUCCUUCCCCUCCACCCACUCACCUCCCACAGGACCCGUGCCUCUCACCUUUCUCAUCACUGUCAUGGCUGGAGGCCCCAACCUCCACUGCCUCCCAGUCCUUGGGGCAGGUGGGAUGGGGAGGCUUCUCCCAGGCCCGGCUCUCCCGAGGCAGCAGCGUCUUGGUCCUCUCGGGCUCCAGCAGCCCCCGCGUCUGCUCAGGACUGAGACUCUGCAUCGCCCCAGGAAGAGGUGAAGCUUCUGAGACAAGCUUCUCUUUCUCCUCCCGAUCCAGGGUCCUCUCUGGUUCCCCAGGCACAGGGUUCAGAACCUGAGGACUGACGAACAUUUCAUCAUUCAGUGAAUCGUUACGGAGGGCCAGCAGGGGCUAGACACGAUUCUAAGCAUUAGAAAUGCAGUAGUCAUCACGUGGAGAUUCCUGCCCUCCUGGGGCUUACAUUCUAGUAGAGAGAGAAAGAGACAGGCAGGGAACAAAUAAAGCACGCAGGAGGUCAAACGGUAGAGAGAGCUCUGGAGACAAAGCUGGAAAGGGAAUGUUUGUCAUGGGCAGGUACACGCAGGCACACACACUCACAUACUCACAUAUACAUACUUA